GAUGAACGCUGGCGGCGUGCUUAACACAUGCAAGUCGAACGGAAAGGCUCCUGCUUGCAGGGGUACUCGAGUGGCGAACGGGUGAGUAACACGUGGGUGAUCUGCCCUGCACUUCGGGAUAAGCCUGGGAAACUGGGUCUAAUACCGGAUAGGACCACAUUUUGGAUGGUGUUGUGUAAAGUUUUUCGGUGUUGGAGGAGCUCGCGGCCUAUACGCUUGUUGGUGGGGUAAUGGCCUACCAAGGCGUCGACGGGUAGCCGGCCUGCGAGGGUGUACGGCCACAUUGGACUCGAGAUACGGCCCGGACUCGGACGGGAGGCAGAAGGGGGGAAUAUUGCACAAUGGGCGCAAGCCUGAGGCAGCGAGGCCGCGUGGGGGAUGACGGCUUUCGGGUGGUAAACACCUUUCGCUAGGGAAGAAGCGUUUUUGUGACGGUACCUGGAGAAGAAGCAACGGCUAACUACGUG
This 467-nucleotide ribosomal RNA is filed under the name uncultured bacterium. Its description in RNAcentral is "partial 16S ribosomal RNA". It matches the Rfam family "Bacterial small subunit ribosomal RNA", at positions 28 to 507 of the family's 1533-position model. The record is from RNAcentral.